This is a non-coding RNA of Triticum aestivum (bread wheat), 124 nucleotides long. Lineage: Eukaryota; Viridiplantae; Streptophyta; Magnoliopsida; Poales; Poaceae. The record is from Rfam.
AUGGUACUCCCUCCGUCCGAAAAUACUUGUCAAAAAAUGGAUAGAAAUAAAUGUAUCUGGAGCUAAAAUAUGUCUCGGUACAUCCAUUCAUCCGACAAGUAUUUUUGGACGGAGGGAGUACAAA